CAGCCGCCGCGGUAAUACCGGCGGCCCGAGUGGCGGCCACUAUUAUUGGGCUUAAAGCGUCCGUAGCCGGGUUGGUUAGUCUCCCGGGAAAUCUGGCCGCUUAACGGUCAGAAUUCCGGGAGAUACUGCCAGCCUAGGGACCGGGAGAGGCCGAGGGGAUUCCCGGAGUAGGGGUGAAAUCCUAUAAUCCCGGGAGGACCACCUGUGGCGAAGGCGCUCGGCUGGAACGGGUCCGACGGUGAGGGACGAAGGCCAGGGGAGCAAACCGGAUUAGAUACCCGGGUAGUCCUGGCUGUAAACGAUGCGGACUUUGUGUCGGACAAGCUAUGAGCUUGUCCGGUGCCGGAGGGAAACCGAUAAGUCCGCCGCCUGGGGAGUACGGCCGCAAGGCUGAAACUUAAAGGAAUUGGCGGG
RNAcentral lists this ribosomal RNA (414 nucleotides) under uncultured microorganism. Its description in RNAcentral is "bacterial SSU rRNA". It matches the Rfam family "Archaeal small subunit ribosomal RNA", at positions 459 to 872 of the family's 1478-position model. The record is from RNAcentral.